GCUAUUCGGGCUGCGGGCUUGGGUGCCACCCCAGGAGAAGUGCGCAGCCCUGGUGCUGGGCGAUGUUCCUCCUGUUCUGCCGGCUGCUCACCAGACAAGGGCCUGAGCCCCAAGUCCAUCCUGAGUGACAGGCUGUAAACAGGACCUUGUCCCACCAGCUGACAGUCAUACUCAUCUCUGGUGUCUGUCCCUCCAGGGUCUGCAGGCUUUCCUGGUGUCCCUCACCUGGCAGUAACCUACCAACGACAAAGUCCUACCAGGGCCCACUGCCCACUGCCUCCCCUCAAACCUGCCCCUGUGACCUGGCCUCUCUGGGCUCCUUUCCUACUUAAGCCAAGUAACUGUCGUUGCUUUUUCCUGGUUUCCACUGACCUCAGGCUGUGUCCCCUGUCACUGAAUCAGCCCCAGUGUCCCCACCAGACCAAGGUCAUGCCCCACCC
Phyllostomus discolor (pale spear-nosed bat) is the source of this 440-nucleotide long non-coding RNA. RefSeq lists it as uncharacterized. The record is from RefSeq and is a predicted model, not a curated record. The transcript has 3 exons. NCBI's taxonomy places the organism in Eukaryota, Metazoa, Chordata, Mammalia, Chiroptera, Phyllostomidae.